Molecule: ribosomal RNA, 247 nt
Filed under: uncultured bacterium
Lineage: Bacteria
Description: partial 16S ribosomal RNA
Rfam family: Bacterial small subunit ribosomal RNA
Source: RNAcentral
AUACUAGGGGGCUAGCGUUAUCCGGAUUUACUGGGCGUAAAGGGUGCGUAGGUGGUUUCUUUAAGUCAGGAGUGAAAGGCUACGGCUCAACCGUAGUAAGCUCUUGAAACUGGGAAACUUGAGUGCAGGGAGAGGAAAGUGGAAUUCCUAGUGUAGCGGUGAAAUGCGUAGAUAUUAGGAGGAACACCAGUAGCGAAGGCGGCUUUCUGGACUGUAACUGACACUGAGGCACGAAAGCGUGGGGAGC